RNAcentral lists this ribosomal RNA (433 nucleotides) under uncultured bacterium. RNAcentral describes it as "partial 16S ribosomal RNA". It matches the Rfam family "Bacterial small subunit ribosomal RNA", at positions 29 to 507 of the family's 1533-position model. The record is from RNAcentral.
AACGAACGCUGGCGGCAUGCCUAACACAUGCAAGUCGAACGAGACCUUCGGGUCUAGUUGCGCACGGGUGCGUAACGCGUGGGAACCUGCCCUUAGGCUCGGAAUAACUCCCCGAAAGGGGUGCUAAUACCGGAUAAUUUCUUCGGACCAAAGAUUUAUCGCCUUUGGAUGGGCCCGCGUUGGUUUAGCUAGUUGGUAGGGUAAAGGCCUACCAAGGCGACGAUCCAUAGCUGGUCUGAGAGGAUGAUCAGCCACACUGGGACUGAGACACGGCCCAGAAUCCUACGGGAGGCAGCAGUGGGGAAUAUUGGAAAAUGGGCGAAAGCCUGAUCCAGCAAUGCCGCGUGAGUGAUGAAGGCGUUAGGGUUGUAAAGCUCUUUUACCCGGGAUGAUAAUGACAGUACCGGGAGAAUAAGCACCGGCUAACUCCGUG